RNAcentral lists this small nucleolar RNA (138 nucleotides) under Ornithorhynchus anatinus (platypus). Lineage: Eukaryota; Metazoa; Chordata; Mammalia; Monotremata; Ornithorhynchidae. The record is from RNAcentral.
CCCCUCUCAGGGUCGCAGCUGGGGAGUUUCCAGUACUCUACCAGUCUCGACUACAGGAUGGAGAAUCAAGCAGAGACAUACCCCUUCCAUUCCUAGCUUGGGCAGUGGCUAGUGAGUGGAAGGCACUCUGCUACAAGU